Molecule: long non-coding RNA, 413 nt
Filed under: Anser brachyrhynchus (Pink-footed goose)
Lineage: Eukaryota; Metazoa; Chordata; Aves; Anseriformes; Anatidae
Description: lncRNA (ENSABRG00000017436.1)
Source: RNAcentral
ACAUCAAAGGAAAUUGAUGUCAGGUGUGAACAGAAGCUGUUGAAUAUAUCUGUUGAGGAAGCUGAGUGGUGUGUCUGGAUGGGAGAGAUGAAGGGCAGCUUAAAACAUUAACAAAACUACAGGGAGAACCUUGAUGUGUGCUCCAAAAUGGAACCCUUUAAGUUUUGACAAAUACAGCUUUCUAUUAAAUCCUUAAAAUCAAUGUUGAUACAUAUUUAAAUGCUACCUGCGUGAAUUUGCAGUAAUUAAGCAAUCUGAAACACUGACUGACCCAGAGAGAAAGCUACUCUAUACCAGUGGUGUCCUUGAAAUGUCUUCAUCAUCAAGCAGUCUCUUCUCUUCAUCUCAGUGAAAGCUAAUGUCAGCACUACUGUGUAGCAACCCUUCCUGUAGAAUAGCUAUUGAAAUCUUAU